GUAGCGGUGGUUCAGUGGUAGAAUUCUUGCCUCCCACUCAGGAGACGUAGGUUCGAUUCCCGGCCAAUGCA
RNAcentral lists this transfer RNA (71 nucleotides) under Loxodonta africana (African savanna elephant). It matches the Rfam family "tRNA". From Rfam's summary of the family: Transfer RNA (tRNA) molecules are approximately 80 nucleotides in length. Their secondary structure includes four short double-helical elements and three loops (D, anti-codon, and T loops). Lineage: Eukaryota; Metazoa; Chordata; Mammalia; Proboscidea; Elephantidae. The record is from Rfam by way of RNAcentral.